Dasypus novemcinctus (nine-banded armadillo) is the source of this 3143-nucleotide long non-coding RNA. NCBI's taxonomy places the organism in Eukaryota, Metazoa, Chordata, Mammalia, Cingulata, Dasypodidae. The record is from Ensembl.
CCGGGCACCCCGCCGGCUCCCGCCCGCGCCCCGCGCCCGCUUACCUGCCGGGGUCGCUCCGAAGACUCGCACCACCGGCACCUUCUUGACAAGGGCAUGGGUGAGGGGAGAUUGGCAGAUAUCCAGCCCCUGCAGCGGGCUGGCCAUGUAGAAGUCGGCAGUCACUAUCCUCAUUGAAAACAUGUUCGCCGCCGCCGCCGCCACCGCCUCCCCUUCACUAGCGACUCGACAGCGGCAGCGGCAGCGGCAGCGGCGGCGGCGGCUCUCUCCGCAGCGGAGGCCCCACAACAGCGGCGCGACGCCCCCUCCCCUCACACUCAGACACCGUGAGGAGCGGUGGCGGGCGGGGCGGUGUUGGUACUGCUGCUGCCACCUCCUCAGGAGGACCCGGCGAGGGGCAGCAGGAGAGAAACCCUCGCACUUUCGUCGGUGCUAGCGUUGCCGCCACUGCCGCCGCCGCCGGGGAUCACACGGGUUCCGCGGUCCCAGGCUGCAGCUCUUGUUGCCAUGAUGAUGAUGUCACGGACGCAACCACUGGGGGAGGGGAGAAGGGGGUUGUGUGUGUGGCGGAGGGAGGGCUGUGAGUAGCUGGGGGAGGGAACGCGGCGGGAAAGGGAGGGGAGCCGGACGGGCGCCCGAGCGGGACACCGAGGGGGCGCCAAGGGGGUGUUUUCUACCCGCCCUGGGGCACGCAGCAAGGGAAGAGGUAAAUGGAAGCAGGGCCCGCGCCCGGCGCGGGGUAUCGAUGACUCGGCCGGUGGGUACGGCCACCUGGGUUUGGGGCAGCGGAGAGAGCGGCGGAGCGCCGAUAUCAUGGAUGUGCUCCAAGGGGCUCGCGGGAGGAGGGCGCCAGUGUUCUGGGCCCUUUUGGCGGUUACGCGGGAUUGGCCGAAGCUGCGGCCCUCGCGCUCGCCUCGCCGACCGCCAUUUCACAUUCUUGCUUGGAGGAGGGGGCAGCGACGGAGAAGGUUUUUUACAAGGUGACCAUGCUUUGGGAUUUUCAUAGUGUGAGUAAUUCCUAUGGGUUCUGCCACCCAGCAAGUUAAAGAGGACAAGAUUCCUCCCAGGGGAUUAUGGUUCUGGGAAUGUGAGCAGCUUGUUUUCAUGAGAUCUGCACCUUGAUCUGGCCUACGAUUAGAAGCUGUGGUGGUGGUGAUUGUUUUGUUAUAGUUGUUGUUUCUUCCAUCUUACACAGAUUUUGUAACUUAUUUCUAAUAUAAGAUUUUUAAAAAGUAAAUGUUUUAUGAGGAAGUGUUUCUUAUACAAAGAAAAAUUAAAAUUAUUUUAAAGUAAUUACUUGUGUCAUAUUUUUCUCUUUCAAAAUAAAUAUAACUAUUAAAUGAUGUUGUUGUCUAGAGGGAAAAUGAAGACCCAAGGAUAUGGCUAUGCUCUUAAUGUUUUAAGAUAAGGUAAUACCAUUCACUGUUUGAAUGGAGCCUUCUAAGGAAUUACCACAGUGUCAUACACAGACAACUUAAAUGCAUUCUUUAUCUUUAAAAGGAAGCAGAAUAGGAUCAUUGAGUAAAUCACAUGAAUUCACAGGCUUUUCUGAUGUAAUCUUACUACACAAACACAUUAUUCUGUAGUCUGAAGGAAAAGGAACAUUUGAAGCAGGGCUUGCCCUUGAAGAGAUGUUUUUUUUCAAAGAGUAGUGCAGUGAAAGACCACACAGUAGCGAUAACAGAAAAUAUCUUCCAUUCCUUCCCCUACCUUUCAAUACUUUCUCAUUCUCCUUUGUUCUCUAAGGACAUCUGUUGUAAUGAUUAUUCAGUAAAACCCAUAGCAGAAGGUAUAUCAUAUUUCAUUUUUAAGUUUGUCUGAUAUAAUUAUUGCUCUCUUUUAUAUCAUGCCAUUGUGGAUUUUUUAAAUAUUUUGUUUAUAAAAGAUAUGAAAGUAUGGGGGACCCGAUGUGGCUCAGCAGUUGAGUACUGGCUUCCACAUACAAGGUCCCAGGUUCAAUCCCCAGCCCUGGUACCUAAAAACAAAAACAAAAACAUGAAAGUAUGUUCUAAAAAAUUUAUUAUCUGACUAGAUAUCUAAGAGUAGAUGUUUUAACUCUGAAUCUAAUAAAAUUGUAUUUUAGGAAGUCUAAUAGACUAGUUUAAUGUCGAUUAAACUACAUCUAGAUAAAUAUGAUAAACUGAAUUCAUUUUAACCAUUUUUCUUUUUUUACAUUAAUUGCAAAGGAUUUUUAGAUAUUUUAAAUAGAGGGAGCAGAUGUGGCAGUGGUUGAGCACCUGCUUCCUACACAGGAGGUCCAAGUUUCGGUUCCUGGUGCCUCCUAAAAACAAAUCAAAACCAAAAAAUUAACAAGGAAACAAGGGGAGAAAAACAGCUCAGGGGAGCUGAUGUGCUUCAGUGGUUAAGCGCCACUUCCCACAUACAAGGUGCUGGAUUCAAUCUGCAACCCCAGUACCUCAAAAUAAAUAAAAUAGAAAACUAUAAAGGUGGACAGUAUUAACAUGUUAUAUUUGAAAAAUAGAUGAAAAUAUAUUUAUUUUGCUUCUAUGCUUCUGAAAGUGCUAAUUCAAAGUAAAAUCUAAAAUUAAUUAACCUCUCCAGAGGUUUACAAAAACCCCUAUCUUCCUUUGAGCCAAAUUUAAUAAGAAUUGCCUCAAUUUGACUUUAUGUGAUAUAACGAUUUUUUUUUAAUGUCAUACUUCCACAUUUGAAAGACAGCCUUAAUUAUGAACAACAGUGAUGUGAGAUUUUGGAAGAGUCAGGUGUAUCAUUUCAAAUGUUUUCUGUAUUUUGAUAGCUGAUUUGUUGUCUAUAUUAUGGUCUGACUUCAAAAUUAAAGUUUUAGCUCUUAUUAUCAAGGGUUCUUAUAAAAUUAUUGCUAUAUAUUUCCCAAUUUUGCUCUAGGUUGAUGCUUUUCGUUUGGGGGAUUUUUGAAAUUUUUGUUUGAAGGUUCUUUUAACCUUUUAUUAAAAAUUUCAAGCAUAUACAAAAGUAGAACAAAUAGUGUGAUGAAGCCCCAAGUUAUGUUUGAGUUUUAAGUGAUAUGCUAGUACAGUUACUAUCUUUGUUUAUGCAACAGAUGUUCAGGAACUCAAGAAAUACUUGUUGCUUAAUACACUUGUAAAAAAAUUUGUGUAAAUCAAGUUUUUAAAAAUAUCCAACCAUCUCCCAACCUGUGAGCU